ACGGCUCAGUAACACGUCGAUAAUCUGCCCUUAGGUUUGGGAUAACCUCGGGAAACUGAGGCUAAACCCAGAUAGAGGAUUAUUUCUGGAAAGAUUUUUCCUUUAAAAGUAAUGCCUAAGGAUGAGUUGGCGGCUGAUUAGGUUGUUGGUGGUGUAACGGACCACCAAGCCGAAGAUCAGUAGGAGUCUUGAGAGAGAUCGCUCCGAGAAGGGCACUGAGACACAGGCCCUAGCCCUACGGGGUGCAGCAGCCGCGAAACCUUUACAAUGCACGAAAGUGUGAUAAGGUAACUCUGAGUGCUUACCUUUUGGUAGGCUUUUGCCAAGAGUAAAUACCUUGGCGAAUAAGUGGUGGGUAAGACUGGUGCCAGCCGCCGCGGUAACACCAGCGCCACAAGUGGGAAUCGUAUUUAUUGGGCCUAAAGCGUCCGUAGCCGGUUUAACAAAUCUUUUGUGAAAUCGUUAAUUUGAAUUUAACGGCGUGCAAGAGAGACUGUUAAACUUGGGACCAGGAGGAGUCAGAAGUAUUUUCGAGGUAGCGGUAAAAUGUUAUAAUCUCGGAAGGACUACCGGUGGCGAAGGCGUCUGACUAGAAUGGAUCCGACGGUGAGGGACGAAAGCCAGGGGAGCAAUCCGGAUUAGAUACCCGAGUAGUCCUGGCUGUAAACUCUGCGAGCUAGGUGUUGCAUAUUCUCCGUGAAUAUGCAGUAUCGAAGCGAAGGUGAUAAGCUCGCCGCCUGGGAAGUAUGGUCGCAAGACUGAAACUUAAAGGAAUUGGCGGGGGAG
RNAcentral lists this ribosomal RNA (786 nucleotides) under uncultured archaeon. RNAcentral's name for it is "bacterial SSU rRNA". It matches the Rfam family "Archaeal small subunit ribosomal RNA", at positions 85 to 876 of the family's 1478-position model. The record is from RNAcentral.